Molecule: transfer RNA, 81 nt
Filed under: Phaeovulum vinaykumarii
Lineage: Bacteria; Pseudomonadati; Pseudomonadota; Alphaproteobacteria; Rhodobacterales; Paracoccaceae
Description: Rhodobacter vinaykumarii tRNA
Rfam family: tRNA
About the family: Transfer RNA (tRNA) molecules are approximately 80 nucleotides in length. Their secondary structure includes four short double-helical elements and three loops (D, anti-codon, and T loops).
Source: Rfam by way of RNAcentral
GCGGGUGUGGCGAAAUGGUAGACGCGAGGGACUCAAACUCCCUUUCCGCAAGGAGUGUCGGUUCGAGUCCGACCACCCGCA